Molecule: RNA transcript, 805 nt
Organism: Myotis daubentonii (Daubenton's bat)
Lineage: Eukaryota; Metazoa; Chordata; Mammalia; Chiroptera; Vespertilionidae
Gene: MAGOH
Gene name: mago homolog, exon junction complex subunit
Source: RefSeq, a predicted model, not a curated record
GCGUCACUUCCGCGCGCCGCUAAACGUCACUGCCGGGCGCGGGCGGCGCUACGGAUCGCUGUUCAAGUUUGGUCUCAGUGGCCUUUCGCGAGCCAUGGAGAGUGACUUUUAUCUGCGUUACUACGUGGGUCACAAGGGCAAGUUCGGCCACGAAUUCCUGGAAUUUGAGUUCCGACCGGAUGGGAAAUUGAGAUAUGCCAACAACAGCAAUUACAAGAAUGAUGUCAUGAUCAGAAAAGAGGCGUAUGUACAUAAGAGUGUGAUGGAGGAACUGAAGAGAAUAAUUGAUGACAGUGAAAUUACCAAAGAGGAUGAUGCUUUGUGGCCUCCCCCGGACCGAGUGGGCCGGCAGGAGCUUGAAAUCGUCAUUGGAGAUGAACACAUUUCUUUUACAACAUCAAAAAUUGGUUCCCUCAUUGAUGUCAAUCAGUCCAAGUCGAUGCUCAACCACUGAGCAUACCAGCUGGGCUUAAAGCAGCAGUCCCCAACCUUUUGGACCUCACAGGCCACCAGUGAUCUGAGGACCACCAGUUGGCGACCACUGGCUUAAAGGACCCAGAAGGCUUACGAGUAUUUUAUUAUCUUGUCCAGGACCUGAAGUGUUUGGUCUUCAGUCUUAUUGGAUUGCACUUCAAGAUUAAACCAAUCUAGAUUGAAUAUUGGUGUGGACACUAGGGGGGUGGGAGUAGCUGGUUUUCAUUACCAUUAUCAGGAAAUUUUUGUGAAUAGAAGGCCAAUAUUUUUUUUUAUAAACUGUAAAUGAUUGUCUUCAAUAAAUAUAUAACAAAAUACAAUUAUUAUUUUA